RNAcentral lists this ribosomal RNA (1670 nucleotides) under Rhizoprionodon acutus (milk shark). RNAcentral's name for it is "16S ribosomal RNA". It matches the Rfam family "Bacterial large subunit ribosomal RNA". Lineage: Eukaryota; Metazoa; Chordata; Chondrichthyes; Carcharhiniformes; Carcharhinidae. RNAcentral also lists the same sequence under 1 other name. The record is from RNAcentral.
ACCUCAAAGCUAGCCUAAAUAUUAAUAUUAAUAAACCUUAUAAACUUAAUUUAUUACAUUAUAGUUUUUAAUUAAAACAUUUUAAAUUCUAGUAUGGGCGACAGAACAAUAACCUUAGCGCAAUAGCUUAUGUACCGCAAGGGAAUGCUGAAAAAGAAAUGAAACAAAUUAUUAAAGUACUAAAAAGCAGAGAUUAUACCUCGUACCUUUCGCAUCAUGAUUUAGCUAGAAAAACUAGGCAAAAAGAUUUUAAGUCUAUCCUCCCGAAACUAAACGAGCUACUCCGAAGCAGCAUCAAAGAGCCAAUCCAUCUCUGUGGCAAAAGAGUGGAAAGACUUCCAAGUAGUGGUGAAAAGCCUACCGAGUUUAGUGAUAGCUGGUUACCCAAGAAAAGAACUUCAGUUCUGCAUUAAUUUUUUAAUUACCUACAAAAGAAUUUCUCCACAAAAGAAUUUAUAAAAAUUAAUAGUUAUUUAGAAGAGGUACAGCCCUUCUAAAUUAAGAUACAACUUUUUAAGGUGGAAAAUGAUCAUAAUUAUUAAGGUAAAUUUCCCAGCGGGCCUAAAAGCAGCCAUCUAUUAAGUAAGCGUUACAGCUCUAACUCAACACUAAACCCUUAAUUUAGAUAUUACCUCAAUACCCCCUUUUACCUAUUGGGUUAUUUUAUAAAAAUAUAAAAGAAAUUAUGCUAAAAUGAGUAAUAAGAGAACAUAUCUCUCCCGACAUAAGUGUAUAUCAGAAAGAAUAAAAUCACUGAUAAUUAAACGACCCCAGAUUGAGGCCAUUAUAAUACUUAACUAUUAACUAGAAAAUUCUAUUACUAAUCUCGUUAAUCUUACACAAGAAUGUCACCAGGAAAGAUUAAAAGAAAAUAAAGGAACUCGGCAAACAUAAACUCCGCCUGUUUACCAAAAACAUCGCCUCUUGAUAAAAUAUAAGAGGUCCCGCCUGCCCUGUGAUAAUAUUUAACGGCCGCGGUACCUUGACCGUGCGAAGGUAGCAUAAUCACUUGUCUUUUAAAUGAAGACUUGUAUGAAAGGCAUCACGAGAAUUUAACUGUCUCUAUUUUCUAAUCAAUGAAAUUGAUUUAUUCGUGCAGAAGCGAAUAUAAUAACAUUAGACGAGAAGACCCUAUGGAGCUUUAAACACUUAAAUUAAUUAUAUAACAAUUUUCCUCUCAGGAUUUAAACUCAAUAUAUAAUAAUCUUAAUUUAACUGUUUUCGGUUGGGGUGACCAAGGGGAAAAAUAAAUCCCCCUUAUCGAUUGAGUACUAAAUACUUAAAAAUUAGAAUAACAAUUCUAAUUAAUAAAAUAUUUACCGAAAAAUGACCCAGGAUUUCCUGAUCAAUGAACCAAGUUACCCUAGGGAUAACAGCGCAAUCCUUUCUUAGAGUUCCUAUCGAAGAAAGGGCUUACGACCUCGAUGUUGGAUCAGGACAUCCUAAUGGUGUAGCCGCUAUUAAGGGUUCGUUUGUUCAACGAUUAACAGUCCUACGUGAUCUGAGUUCAGACCGGAGAAAUCCAGGUCAGUUUCUAUCUAUGAAUUUACUUUUCCUAGUACGAAAGGACCGGGAAAGUAGGGCCAAUGCCACUUGCACGCCCUAUUUUUAUCUGUUGAAUAAAAAUUAAAUAGAUAAGAAAAGAGCACCUAGUGCCCAAAAACAGGGUU